This 85-nucleotide non-coding RNA is filed under the name Lactobacillus equicursoris. RNAcentral's name for it is "Purine riboswitch". It matches the Rfam family "Purine riboswitch aptamer", at positions 5 to 93 of the family's 102-position model. From Rfam's summary of the family: Riboswitches are metabolite binding domains within certain messenger RNAs that serve as precision sensors for their corresponding targets. Lineage: Bacteria; Bacillati; Bacillota; Bacilli; Lactobacillales; Lactobacillaceae. The record is from RNAcentral.
UAACAAAUUAUCUUAUCUAUAUAUCGCUGUAAUAUGGUCAGCAGUCUCUACCCGGGGCCGUAAAUCCCGGACUAUAGGUACUAGA